This 497-nucleotide ribosomal RNA is filed under the name uncultured bacterium. RNAcentral's name for it is "partial 16S ribosomal RNA". It matches the Rfam family "Bacterial small subunit ribosomal RNA", at positions 28 to 507 of the family's 1533-position model. The record is from RNAcentral.
GAUGAACGCUGGCGGCGUGCCUAAUACAUGCAAGUCGAGCGAACGGACGAGAAGCUUGCUUCUCUGAUGUUAGCGGCGGACGGGUGAGUAACACGUGGAUAACCUACCUAUAAGACUGGGAUAACUUCGGGAAACCGGAGCUAAUACCGGAUAAUAUUUUGAACCGCAUGGUUCAAAAGUGAUAGACGGUCUUGCUGUCACUUAUAGAUGGAUCCGCGCUGCAUUAGCUAGUUGGUAAGGUAACGGCUUACCAAGGCAACGAUGCAUAGCCGACCUGAGAGGGUGAUCGGCCACACUGGAACUGAGAAACGGUCCAGACUCCUACGGGAGGCAGCAGUAGGGAAGCUUCCGCAAUGGGCGAAAGCCUGACGGAGCAACGCCGCGUGAGUGAUGAAGGUCUUCGGAUCGUAAAACUCUGUUAUUAGGGAAGAACAUAUGUGUAAGUAACUGUGCACAUCUUGACGGUACCUAAUCAGAAAGCCACGGCUAACUACGUG